ACGGAAGGCAGCAGUGGGGGAUAUUGCACAAUGGGGGAAACCCUGAUGCAGCGACGCCGCGUGAGUGAAGAAGUAUUUCGGUAUGUAAAGCUCUAUCAGCAGGGAAGAAAAUGACGGUACCUGACUAAGAAGCACCGGCUAAAUACGUGCCAGCAGCCGCGGUAAUACGUAUGGUGCAAGCGUUAUCCGGAUUUACUGGGUGUAAAGGGUGUGUAGGCGGGACUGCAAGUCAGAUGUGAAAACUAUGGGCUCAACUCAUAGCCUGCAUUUGAAACUGUGGUUCUUGAGGGUCGGAGAGGUAACUGGAAUUCCUGGUGUAGCGGUGAAAUGCGUAGAUAUCAGGAGGAACACCGGUGGCGAAGGCGGGUUACUGGACGAUUACUGACGCUGAGACACGAAAGCGUGGGGAGCAAACAGGAUUAGAUACCCUGGUA
RNAcentral lists this ribosomal RNA (434 nucleotides) under uncultured Lachnospiraceae bacterium. RNAcentral describes it as "partial 16S ribosomal RNA". It matches the Rfam family "Bacterial small subunit ribosomal RNA", at positions 341 to 792 of the family's 1533-position model. Lineage: Bacteria; Bacillati; Bacillota; Clostridia; Lachnospirales; Lachnospiraceae. The record is from RNAcentral.